CCUACGGGUGGCAGCAGUAGGGAAUAUUGCUCAAUGGGGGAAACCCUGAAGCAGCAACGCCGCGUGGAGGAUGAAGGUUUUCGGAUUGUAAACUCCUUUUGUUAGAGAAGAUAAUGAUGGUAUCUAACGAAUAAGCACCGGCUAACUCCGUGCCAGCAGCCGCGGUAAUACGGAGGGUGCAAGCGUUACUCGGAAUCACUGGCGUAAAGAGCGCGUAGGCGGGAUAGCAAGUCAGAUGUGAAAUCCUAGGGCUUAACCAUAGAAAUGCAUUUGAAACUGUUAUUCUAGAGUAUGGGAGAGGUAGGUGGAAUUCUUGGUGUAGGGGUAAAAUCCGUAGAGAUCAAGAGGAAUACUCAUUGCGAAGGCGACCUGCUAGAACAUAACUGACGCUGAUGCGCGAAAGCGUGGGGAGCAAACAGGAUUAGAUUACCCUUGUAGUC
RNAcentral lists this ribosomal RNA (440 nucleotides) under uncultured bacterium. RNAcentral's name for it is "partial 16S ribosomal RNA". It matches the Rfam family "Bacterial small subunit ribosomal RNA", at positions 338 to 795 of the family's 1533-position model. The record is from RNAcentral.